AGUCUGACCUGCUCACUGAUAUAAUUAAAUAGCUGCGGUAUACUGACCGUACAAAGGUAGCAUAAUCAUUAGUUCUUUAAUUGGGAACUUGUAUGAAUGGUUUGACGAGAAAAAUUCUGUCUUUAUUAUAAACAUUGAAUUUAACUUUUAAGUGAAAAGGCUUAAAUAAAUUAGGGGGACGAUAAGACCCUGUAAAACUUUAUAUAAAGUUGGGAUUUUACUUAAUUAUUAUAAAAUAGUAAAAUUUAAGGUUUAUAUUUUGUUGGGGCGACAGGAGUAUAAAUAUAUAUAACUACUUAUAAAGUUAUCAUUUAUAGAUGAAAAUAAACGAUCCUUAAUAAAGAUUAAAAGAUUAAGUUACUUCAGGGAUAACAGCGUUAUUUCUUUAGAGAGUCCAUAUCGAAAUAGAAGUUUACGACCUCGAUGUUGAAUUAAAAUAUCUUUUUAGCGCAGCCGUUAAAAAAGAAGGUCUGUUCGACCUUUAAAUUUUUACGUGAUCUGAGUUCAGACCGGGA
Molecule: ribosomal RNA, 515 nt
Filed under: Parethusa sp. YWS-2008
Lineage: Eukaryota; Metazoa; Arthropoda; Malacostraca; Decapoda; Ethusidae
Description: partial 16S ribosomal RNA
Rfam family: Bacterial large subunit ribosomal RNA
Source: RNAcentral